RNAcentral lists this long non-coding RNA (899 nucleotides) under Nicotiana benthamiana. Its description in RNAcentral is "long non-coding RNA (NBEN_LNC022260)". Lineage: Eukaryota; Viridiplantae; Streptophyta; Magnoliopsida; Solanales; Solanaceae. The record is from RNAcentral.
UCAGUUUAUUUUUUUCGUUAUCACAGCACUCCUCAAGUUUGAUAAAGUUACUGAUACUGACUUUGCCGGUACGAAUUAUUAUAUCUUCAUCACCUUAUAUUUUUGUUUCUUUGAAUUUUCUCUUUCAAGUUCAUGAAAUUUUACCUUAUCCACCGUUGAAAAGAAUAUAAUACGUAGAAUUUAUUGAAAUUUAAGGAAAGGUUCAGUUUCGGCUUAAACUUUGGUGGCUUGGGAAUACAUGUUGUUUCAUUCUUGUACAAAUUUCUGGUAUUGUUUUGCUCUUUUUUCUCCUUUGUUUUGGGUUGAGAGGAGGUGUGGAAUGGGGCUAUUCUUUUGAGAUUUGGAAAGUGCUCUUUUAUCAGUGUUGUUAAUCUGACACUUUUUAUCAUACACGAUAAUCUUUUUUUAAUUACUGGAACAGGGAAGCUGAGUCUUUCUAAAUACAAUUUCUCAGAGAUGUCAAUCAAUUCUUUUAGACGUGUGCUUCAAUGAUAGUAUGUAACUUUAUGCCCCAGUAAACUCUCUCUCUCUCACACACACCGCGCAAGUGCAUUAGCUUUCUUAUUCUAUUUUAGUGAUUAUUGGACUGAUUCAGACUCGAUUUUCCUAUUUAUAGGCGCCAUGAGUUCACUUAUACUUCACAAGUUGCCUCUUAAAACAGUGGGAUAGUCUAUGUUGGCCUUAGAAUCAUGGCAAAGUUAUCAUUAUUUGGGAUAAAUUUUAAAUACCUACUACACUAAUAGAGUCUCGUGGCCUAUCUUCUUUACGUACCUUAACCAAUCCAUUCAUCGUGCACCAUGGUAGUAUUUUCCAUUGGAGCACCUCCAUUAUGAAUACCAUUCUGUUUGACUUAAACUUUGUUUAUGCUUAUAUUAUUCCCCUUCUUUUUAUUUUGGGGN